CAGUAGCCGCGGUAAGACAGAGGUCCCGAGCGUUGUUCGGAUUCAUUGGGCGUAAAGGGUGUGUAGGAGGCCAGGUAAGUCAGGUGUGAAAUCUCAGAGCUUAACUCUGAAACUGCGCUUGAUACUGCUUGGCUAGAGGAUCGGAGGGGGUAACGGAAUUUAUGGUGUAGCAGUGAAAUGCGUAGAUAUCAUAAGGAACACCGGUGGCGAAGGCGGUUACCUGGAAGAUUCCUGACUCUGAAACACGAAAGCCAGGGGAGCAAACGGGAUUAGAUACCCCCGUAGUCCCUGUCUCUUAUAC
This 301-nucleotide ribosomal RNA is filed under the name uncultured bacterium. Its description in RNAcentral is "partial 16S ribosomal RNA". It matches the Rfam family "Bacterial small subunit ribosomal RNA", at positions 509 to 807 of the family's 1533-position model. The record is from RNAcentral.